Molecule: transfer RNA, 73 nt
Filed under: Ovis aries (sheep)
Lineage: Eukaryota; Metazoa; Chordata; Mammalia; Artiodactyla; Bovidae
Rfam family: tRNA
About the family: Transfer RNA (tRNA) molecules are approximately 80 nucleotides in length. Their secondary structure includes four short double-helical elements and three loops (D, anti-codon, and T loops).
Source: Rfam by way of RNAcentral
UCCCUGGUGGUCCAGUGGCUAAGACUCCACACUCGCAAAGCAGAAGGCCCAGGUUCGAUCCCUGGUCAAGGAA